This is a microRNA precursor of Lottia gigantea (owl limpet), 66 nucleotides long. It matches the Rfam family "mir-375 microRNA precursor family". The record is from Rfam. NCBI's taxonomy places the organism in Eukaryota, Metazoa, Mollusca, Gastropoda, Lottiidae.
ACUGACCCGAGCCGUUUGUAACAAGGCUUAAAUUACAAUGUUUUGUUCGUUCGGCUCGCGUUACAA